GACAGGAGGGAAGAUGAUGGGUAGGAAAGAGCCGUUCCUGGAAACAAAGUAGCUGUCAUUCAUUUUAACCAAAAGAAUGGAGUGUUUGGUAUUUGAGGGGUGGCGCAGUGACCUUUUUUUUUUCCCCUGUACUUAGAAAACAAUUAUGAAUUGCCAUCAUUUUGUCUCACUUUAUCAUGCUCUCCAAGUAAUCUUACUUGGUGUUGGUAUUCUCUUGAUACUUCUUAGUAUUUAUGACCAGGCUCACUAGUGGAUAGCAGCAAGGCUGUUGUUUUUGUCUUUGUUUUCUCCUCACAAGGAACAUGAAGCAUGAGGGAGGCUUUUAGCUUGAAUUGGAAGACAUCCUUCUAGAAUGUUAGCAAUCAGUGAAAAAGUACAGGUCUUCUAGGCACACCCACUCCAUGUAUGAAGAAGAAAUGUGAACAGAAGAAGCACAUUCAGCUCAUUGCUGGCUUGCAUGUAUUUUCUAAGAUUUGUUUAAACGCCUCUACUCUCAAGUUUUAUAUUUGUUGUAUUUUGAUGUAAAAUUCAUAAAUGUUAAAAACACCAGUCAGAUUUCAGUUCAUCCAUCCUCCUGUAAGGAUUGUCUCAGACUGAAACUGUGGAUUCUCUUGACUUAGGAUUUAAACCCCUAUCACUCCCCCUCCCAGCUCGAUUGAUUAGGAAACUGGUGCAGUGAUAUCGGAGUGGAAUGAGAGAAAACCAAGAAGUCAUCCAUUACAAAAACUGUCCAUAAAGUCUGCUCCUAAUUUGAAUACAAAAUGUUUUAACAAGCAAGAAUUUAACCACUGCUGGAGUUCCCUUGUCAGUGCAGUGGAAAUGAAUCCAACUAAAAAGUAUGUGGUUGCGGGUUCAAUCCCUGGCCUCCAUCAGUGGGUUAAGGAUCUGGUAUUGCCAUGAGCCGUGGUGUAGGUCACAGACUUGGCUCGAAUCUGAUGUGGCUGUGGUGUAGGCCGGCAGCUGUAGCUCUGAUUGGACCCCUAACCUGGAAACCUCCAUAUGCUGCAGGUGUGGCCCUU
This 1019-nucleotide long non-coding RNA is filed under the name Sus scrofa (pig). RNAcentral describes it as "lncRNA (ENSSSCG00000041304.2)". The record is from RNAcentral. Lineage: Eukaryota; Metazoa; Chordata; Mammalia; Artiodactyla; Suidae.